ACUACAACAAUAUUUAUGAAGACACUCUCAGAGCUUGAAGUAUGAUUCUUAUAUAAGAGCACAGCUACCUAUUGCAGAUUAUACGUAGAAACAUUUACAAGGUCGAAAAUGAAUUCUACAUUCUGUCUUGUCAUGCUGAACCUUUUUAUGAUUACAUCCGGGAUUGUUGGUGAUAGAGUUGCAACCUGUAAAUUCUUGUGCCGACAACAACAUGCAAAUUCGAUUGAUAUUUUCAAGUGUAUGGCAGAUAAUGGUUGUAAAUUUGUUCCAUUGUACGAACUAAAGCAAGGAAAUGAUUUUAGAUAUUAAUUGCAAUAAUUGAAAACUGAAAAUGGAAAGAAGCUGCCGAAAUUCGUAUUAACAUUAAACAGAUCAUUGGAUCGUAUUUCGGGAGAUGGGUUAUUUUCGUGAUUAUAGUGUCAAAUAUAUAAUAUACGCAUAA
Long non-coding RNA from Octopus bimaculoides (California two-spot octopus), 442 nucleotides. RefSeq lists it as uncharacterized. NCBI's taxonomy places the organism in Eukaryota, Metazoa, Mollusca, Cephalopoda, Octopoda, Octopodidae. The record is from RefSeq and is a predicted model, not a curated record.